This 274-nucleotide ribosomal RNA is filed under the name uncultured bacterium. RNAcentral's name for it is "partial 16S ribosomal RNA". It matches the Rfam family "Bacterial small subunit ribosomal RNA", at positions 1227 to 1500 of the family's 1533-position model. The record is from RNAcentral.
ACAAUGGACGGUACAACGAGUCGCAAACUCGCGAGAGUAAGCUAAUCUCUUAAAGCCGUUCUCAGUUCGGACUGUAGGCUGCAACUCGCCUACACGAAGUCGGAAUCGCUAGUGAUCGCGGAUCAGAAUGUCGCGGUGAAUACGUUCCCGGGUCUUGUACACACCGCCCGUCACACCAUGGGAGUCAGUAACGCCCGAAGCCGGUGACCCAACCAAACGGAGGGAGCCGUCGAAGGUGGGACCGAUAACUGGGGUGAAGUCGUAACAAGGUACC